GAUUUCUGAGGCCGACGGUUACCUCCAUGCUCUUCCUCGCGCUGCGACGGUCGGCCACCGUACUCAGAUUCCUCGGACUCAUACUUGGAAGGUCGGGGCCUGGAAGGGCGAGACUCUGAGUCUCCAUCAUCAUAUUGUGAAGGACGAGGUUUAGCUGGACGAGAUUCUGAGUCUUCAUCAUCAUAGUGUGAAGGACGAGGUUUAGCUGGACGAGAUUCUGAGUUUUCAUCAUCGUAGUGCGAAGGACGAGGUUUAGCUGGACGAGAUUCUGAGUCUUCGUUAUCAUAUUGUGAAGGACGAGGUUUUGCUGGACGAGAUUCUGAGUCUUCGUCAUCAUGUCGUGAAGGACGGGGCUUGGUUGGCCGAGACUCAGACUCUUCAUCAUCGUACUUCGAGGGUCGGGGUUUGGAAGGAUGAUAGUCUUCGUCCUCACCACUUGACUGACCACGACCUAGAUAAAAGCACCCAAUUGCGAGUUAGGGAUGGCGUGUCUCAACAAUCCUGUAGUUAUUAAGGUCAUCAACAUGUUAAUUAUUAAAACACAGAAAUCAUGCACAGUUCAGCCAUUACACCCGAUAAGUUCCCAGUCAUAGCUGCUUCUUUACGGAUAUUGCAGUACAAGCAUCUAAUUUUCAAUACCAGAGCUACUAUAUACACCGAUUCGAAAUGGUGUAAAAGGAAUAGCUCGACUAAGAUUGUGACCCAA
Molecule: long non-coding RNA, 706 nt
Filed under: Physcomitrium patens
Lineage: Eukaryota; Viridiplantae; Streptophyta; Bryopsida; Funariales; Funariaceae
Description: long non-coding RNA (PPAT_LNC013785)
Source: RNAcentral